AGAGUUUGAUCCUGGCUCAGAACGAACGCUGGCGGCAGGCCUAACACAUGCAAGUCGAGCGCCCAGCAAUGGGAGCGGCGGACGGGUGAGUAACGCGUGGGAAUUUUUCCUGGAGUACGGAACAACCGAGGGAAACUUCGGCUAAUACCGUAUGAUGCCGAGAGGCCAAAGAUUUAUCGCUCUGGGGUGAGCCCGCGUCAGAUUAGGUAGUUGGUGGGGUAAUGGCCUACCAAGCCUGCGAUCUGUAGCUGGUCUGAGAGGACGAUCAGCCACACUGGGACUGAGACACGGCCCAGACUCCUACGGGAGGCAGCAGUGGGGAAUCUUGCGCAAUGGGCGAAAGCCUGACGCAGCCAUGCCGCGUGAGUGAAGAAGGUCUUAGGAUUGUAAAGCUCUUUCGCUCGUGACGAUGAUGACGGUAACGAGAGAAGAAGCCCCGGCUAACUUCGUGCCAGNCAGCCGCGGUAAUACGAAGGGGGCUAGCGUUGUUCGGAAUUACUGGGCGUAAAGCGCGCGUACGCGGUUUUGCAAGCCAGAGGUGAAAUGCCUGAGCUCAACUCANGAAUGGCCUUUGGGACUGCGAGGCUUUGAGGACUGGAGAGGUGAGUGGAAUUCCCAGUGUANAGGUGAAAUUCGUAGAUAUUGGGAAGAACACCCGGUGGCGAAGGCGGGCUCACUGGCCAGUUUCUGACGCUGUAGCGCGAAGGCGU
Molecule: ribosomal RNA, 710 nt
Filed under: uncultured bacterium
Lineage: Bacteria
Description: bacterial SSU rRNA
Rfam family: Bacterial small subunit ribosomal RNA
Source: RNAcentral